Molecule: ribosomal RNA, 273 nt
Filed under: uncultured bacterium
Lineage: Bacteria
Description: partial 16S ribosomal RNA
Source: RNAcentral
CUGCUGCCUCCCGUAGGAGUCUGGUCCGUGUCUCAGUACCAGUGUGGGGGACCUUCCUCUCAGAACCCCUACGCAUCGUCGCCUCGGUGGGCCGUUACCCCGCCGACUAGCUAAUGCGCCGCAUGCCCAUCCCCCGCCGGAAUCGCUUCCUUUGGCCGCAGACCCAUGCAGGUCCGCGGCGUUACGCGGUAUUAGUCGGGAUUUCUCCCGGUUAUCCCCCUGCGGGGGCAGGUCGCAUACGUGUUACUCACCCGUGCGCCGGUCGCCGGCAGG